GGCGUCGAAGGGCUGACCAGAGCUUAAUCUGGAAGACAAAUCCAAUUUUGGAGGCGUCGAAGGGCGGACCAGAGCCUUAAUCUGGUAGGUUAUCUCUUCGGAGGUGCCGCUGGUGUUAACCCAGUUUCCAGGUUGUCGGAAACCAAAAUGGGCAGUAGUCGCGGACUACAUUCAGCCGAUCAAAGCUGCAAAUUGUAACAGAUUUGAAAUUUGAACCACGGGAUGGGCUAGUGUCCGAGGCUAGCCCAAUGAGGUUGGCCCCCUUUAGUGGGAGUAUCGUGGUGGCUGUGGUGUUACCCGCUGUGUCUCCACUAUAGUUGGAGCACAGCUGCUGGGUCCAAUGUGUAUUUGGACCACAGCCGGAAGCUGUACCCGUAGUCAGCAGAGGUUAUGAUAGGCCUCGCCUCGACCCAAGAGGGAAUUGUGUCCGACAACACAAUUCGAGUUGGUAGCUAAAAGCGUUCUUUUAGGGGCGUUGGUGGACGCAUUGUUUUCACCCGCUGUACUAUGUGUCACAUAUGUGGCACAUGCGAGUACCGUGGUUGUAAACCCCCAUCGGGGUACACGUCACGUUAAACAAAUCAAGGAUUCUGUCCCUAUCUACUAUCUAGCGAAACCACAGCCAAGGGAACGGGCUUGGAAUAAUUAGCGGGGAAAGAAGACCCUUUUGAGCUUGACUCUAAUCUGGCAGUGUAAGGAGACAUAAGAGGUGUAGAAUAAGUGGGAGAUAUUAGGCUUCGGUUUGAUAUCGCCAAUGAAAUACCACUACUCUUAUUGUUUCCUUACUUACUUGAUUAAGUGGAACGUGUAUCAUUUCCUAGCCAUUAUACGGAUAUAUUAAUUAUGUCUUAUGGUAUUGGGUUUUGAUGCAAGCUUCUUGAUCAAAGUAUCACGAGUUUGUUAUAUAAUCGCAAACAAAUUCUUUAAUGAGAAAAUGCAGCAAUGUGUUUUUGAUUUAAUAAUUUGGUAUAACUCCAAUUACUCAGGUAUGAUCCAAUUCAAGGACAUUGCCAGGUAGGGAGUUUGACUGGGGCGGUACAUCUCUCAAAUAAUAACGGAGGUGUCCCAAGGCCAGCUCAGUGCGGACAGAAACCACACAUAGAGCAAAAGGGCAAAUGCUGACUUGAUCUCGGUGUUCAGUACACACAGGGACAGCAAAAGCUCGGCCUAUCGAUCCUUUUGGUUUAAAGAGUUUUUAACAAGAGGUGUCAGAAAAGUACCA
RNAcentral lists this non-coding RNA (1222 nucleotides) under Drosophila mojavensis. RNAcentral's name for it is "Eukaryotic large subunit ribosomal RNA". It matches the Rfam family "Eukaryotic large subunit ribosomal RNA", at positions 2046 to 2820 of the family's 3401-position model. The record is from Rfam by way of RNAcentral. Lineage: Eukaryota; Metazoa; Arthropoda; Insecta; Diptera; Drosophilidae.